ACGGGGGGUGCAAGCGUUGUUCGGAAUCAUUGGGCGUAAAGCGCGCGCAGGCGGCUUGGUAAGUCAGAUGUGAAAUCCCUGGGCUUAACGCAGGAAGUGCAUUUGAUACUGCCUCGCUAGAGUACGGGAGAGGAAAGUGGAAUUCCUGGUGUAGAAGUGAAAUACGUAGAUAUCCGGAGGAGCACUGGUGGCGAAGGCGACUUACUGGCUCGAUACUGACACUCAGGCGCGAAAGCGUUUUGAGCAAAAAG
Molecule: ribosomal RNA, 251 nt
Filed under: uncultured prokaryote
Description: partial 16S rRNA
Rfam family: Bacterial small subunit ribosomal RNA
Source: RNAcentral